This 455-nucleotide long non-coding RNA is filed under the name Numida meleagris (helmeted guineafowl). RNAcentral's name for it is "lncRNA (ENSNMEG00000009324.1)". The record is from RNAcentral. Lineage: Eukaryota; Metazoa; Chordata; Aves; Galliformes; Numididae.
AGAGAGGGCUGCUCCUGGCUUCCUUGUGGUCCGCUCACAUCUCUCCUAUGUCAGGAGGCAUCACGUGCUAUAAAUACUACCCACACCAGCAUGCUUGCCAGAGAAUUGAGGAAAGAAAAUUUCUUGAUCAGAUUGUUUUUCCAGUGCCCCCUGAAGAUGCUGUUCAAACCUGUGUUUUGGCACAAUCACGGUUUUGAGAGCAGAAAGAGUUAACAACUUUUAAGUUUACUUGAUUAGAGCUUGAGCAACAAUGAGAGGAGUUACUGGACAGUUCUGAUUAAAGAAAAAAGUACACCCAGUAUUUAAGAUGUUCUGGAUUUCUCUCUUCUGCAGUUAAUGAAGCCCUUAAUCUUCUGUCACAAAAUUAUUUACUAUGGCAGGUGGACCAAGGAAAGAAAAUAGUGAAACAGAAACAGUAGAAUAAAAAAUAAUAGUAAAUAAUGUCUCUAUGGAAA